RNAcentral lists this ribosomal RNA (497 nucleotides) under uncultured bacterium. RNAcentral describes it as "partial 16S ribosomal RNA". It matches the Rfam family "Bacterial small subunit ribosomal RNA", at positions 28 to 507 of the family's 1533-position model. The record is from RNAcentral.
GAUGAACGCUGGCGGCGUGCCUAAUACAUGCAAGUCGAGCGAACAGACGAGGAGCUUGCUCCUCUGACGUUAGCGGCGGACGGGUGAGUAACACGUGGAUAACCUACCUAUAAGACUGGGAUAACUUCGGGAAACCGGAGCUAAUACCGGAUAAUAUACUGAACCGCAUGGUUCAAUAGUGAAAGACGGUUUUGCUGUCACUUAUAGAUGGAUCCGCGCCGCAUUAGCUAGUUGGUAAGGUAACGGCUUACCAAGGCAACGAUGCGUAGCCGACCUGAGAGGGUGAUCGGCCACACUGGAACUGAGACACGGUCCAGACUCCUACGGGAGGCAGCAGUAGGGAAUCUUCCGCAAUGGGCGAAAGCCUGACGGAGCAACGCCGCGUGAGUGAUGAAGGUCUUCGGAUCGUAAAACUCUGUUAUUAGGGAAGAGCAAAUGUGUAAGUAACUAUGCACGUCUUGACGGUACCUAAUCAGAAAGCCACGGCUAACUACGUG